Molecule: non-coding RNA, 3110 nt
Organism: Pelodiscus sinensis (Chinese soft-shelled turtle)
Lineage: Eukaryota; Metazoa; Chordata; Testudines; Trionychidae
Source: RefSeq, a predicted model, not a curated record
CAAAACAGACCUGAGAAUAGUGGAACAGGGAAAUAGUUCAGAGGACUGGGUGAAAUAACAACUGAGGGUCUCUCUCCUCCAUUCAUUAAAGGAGUGAACAGUCUCUAGGUCAUUCUAAACCAGAAGCAUCUUCCUCCUGAAAUUAGGACUAUUGACUCUAGAUUUAUCAUCAAUGCAUUCAUGGCAGGAAAAGCUUAUUUCCAGCCCAUCAGGAAUGACAAUGAAGAAGCUAGACAUGGAGAUAAUAGUCCCUUAGCAAGAGAGAAUUGAACAGGGGAGAACUGUCUUCUUGCAGACUUGCUACAAAGACAUGUGUCCAGGUCACCUGAUGCUGGAAUUCAUCUUGAUUUUUUUACUUUUCCACAGAGGUGUUAGGGAAUCAAACAAAAGCUUCCCAUCCUAGGGAAAUUCUAUAUCAGGUAAGGAAAGUAAACAGAUAUGGUUUUCAGCUGGCUUUACAGACUCCCUCUCAUUCCCCAAGGUAUACAUGAAAAUGCCUGGAAACAAAAAGAUUGUAACGAGAGAGGUGGAAGAGAACUGCUGGACUCAGGCACCAAUUCCAAAGACAUUAACAAGACUACAGCAUUGGUACUAGCUUCCCUAAAAGGAAAUUCUGUCGAUACUACCCAUUUAAUGGAUUUGUACAAGCAUACACUCAUGACCUUUCUUUUCUCUCCCCUUCUCGGACUGUAAUGAACAAGAUGAGUUGGCUGACUCUUCCUUCCCCGGAAUAAACACUUAAGUCUAUGUUAGGUGGUAUAGGCUGAAAAACACUUCGACCAAUGUUAUCAAAUGUGACUAGUGACUUUGGGUGCCCUCGUGUUUGAGUACCAACCUGAAAGACACCAAAAGGGGCCUGAUUUUGAGCUCAUUGCCCUCUGAAAAUUAGGCAUUUUUGAGAUGUCUUGAGUUUGGCAUUCAGAAACUGAAGCCCCAAAAAUCAUAUUUUAAAAAGAACUCUGACCAGUACUUUUUUGGGGACAGAUUUAAAAUAAAGCUUGUCACCUAGCAUCUCCCAUUGGACAGGCUGGUAGAAUGCAGGAUUUGGAAACAGACAUUACUUUUCCUUUCCAAGGUCUGUGAAAGAAUUUCUGUGCAACCAUGGCCUUUAUGAAGCAGCAAUAACAAAGGACACUGAAGUGCCAUCUUUUAUCACCACCAAGAAGUAGCAAUAAUUGAGAAGCUUAACAUGAACAACAAUCAGGAUGUGUGUUAGCAGGCCACAAAAUAUAAAGUGCAUUCAAUGAUCUACAAUGAUCAACAUGAAACAGCAAAACAAAACAAACAUCUUCAAAAAUCCAACAAUAUGGUAAACAGUAAUGUCCUUCUCUAAAAAUUAUUCCAGUUGCAGUUUUUGGUCAUUUCAAGAUUUUUUCCACAGAAGUUAUGGGCAGUUUUGCUAAAAAAUAAGUUUAGCAAUGAGGCAACAUCUUCCAAAGAAAAGUCUUUACUUUAUAAUAGUAACUACCUUCAAAUUAGUUUGCCAUAACAACUUGUUGCUUUGAUUGUUAUUGAAAAUGAUUAAUGUUAUAUGAAAAUAUUCUGUUGUCCAUUCUACAUAGAAGCAGAGAUGGUGAAGAAAUACAUUUGUGCAAUUCAAAAAAACUGAGCAAAAGAAGCAGAUACUUAUGAAAGUGCAUAAGAGAAAAGAGAAAAUUGGUUCAGAGUAGUUACUUAAGAGAUGGAAAACGUCGUUUCAAGGAGGCAAACUUAUGAAUCGCAUCAGCAACAGAAUAUUUUGUCUGUCCAGAUACACACGCCUCGAUAUCUUCUGGACUUAGCUGAGUCUGUAAGAAGAGGUGAAGUCUACUGUCCGAAAGCAAUAAUGCAUUUUGUAGGAUCCUUUAAAAUAGAGAAAGGCAUAGAAUUACUAGAACAAUUCUCAAUGCUGUCCUGCUUUUAAAUUAAUCUCAAAUUAGCCUCAGAAUGCACUGCACAUAAUAAAAUGAUUAGGUAUGUGUUACCUUUUUAUUACAUUAUCUAGAAUUUUAGGUGAGUAAAAACAUGAAGCUAAUAGUUAAGAACAUCUGUUAUAAGAAUAACUUCAAGGGUGUUUCUUCCAUUUAACCAUCUGUUAUUACCAUGCGAUUCGAUUAAUGAUUGUAACGGGGGCAAAAGCACAUGCACUUAUGGAAAUUUGGUCUACAUUCAAGCACGGUCUAUAUUUAAAAAAAAAUACUAAACUAUUUUAUAAUUUCUAUUGCCUCAUUUCUUUUCGGGGAGUGGAAGAAAAUGGAAUUUAGAAGCAUGAAAAGUCAGGACUUUGAAAUACCUGAGAAACAGAAUGUGUGUGCAUCAAUAAAAACUAAGGGUACAUAUUUACACUUUUAUAUAUGUUUAUAUAAGGGGUAAUAAAAUGCCAUUGAUGUACACUAAUUUAAAAUCUGCUUGUAAAAUUCAGUAAAUUCUGAAAAUACUUUUCACUGUAACUACUUUUAGAAAAAAGUCUAUCUUUAACUACAGUUUAUAUUUCUGAAAAUAAGCCUUCAAGUGUAUUUGGCAUAACCUGUUUAAUCACAUGAACUGUGUAAUCCAAAUACAAUGCAUUUUACAAAAUCUGAAAAUUAGAAGUUAAUUCCACAAACAACUGAAAUCUGAUUAGUAUUGCUACUCAGAAAAAUGCAACACUCUUGCAAUAUUUGUAUAAAGAAUGAACUGCACACUAUGUCAAUUCUAAAAUGAUUAGCACCAAACAAUGAGACCUUUCCUACAAAAUGUUGGUGUGCAUGUGCAACUUUACUCAUGGGGGUAGUCUUUUUGAACUCUGUGGGAAUAUUCAGCAUUUGCAAAAUAAAGGCCUAUGAGAGUAACAACUAAUACUGCUUGCAAAUAUUUAAGCAAGCCAGAACUGUUCAGAAGUAAUCUUAGCCUACUUUCAACUUAUAUAGGUUAGUUUUUAGUUAUCAAUAUCUUUUGCAACGAUUUUAUUUAGCAAUAUCAUCUGAAUAUAAUUGGAUACAAGGCAAUAACAUACAAACUGGUGAAAACAAAAUAAAUGAAUAAAAGUCAAUUGUAUUAUAAAUCCAUGAAGUCUACAACAGACUGGUUCUUCCAAGACUAAUCACAAAUUUGGACUAUAAUAUUUUAAAUAUAUAAAUGAACUCUGAAAA